UUAAGUCAAAUUUGUAUGGAACUUAAAGGUUUGCCUAUGUUUGCCGCUGGGGACACUGUUCCAGCUGAAUACAAAUUUCAGGUU
RNAcentral lists this microRNA precursor (84 nucleotides) under Bombyx mori (domestic silkworm). Its description in RNAcentral is "mir-2807 microRNA precursor family". It matches the Rfam family "mir-2807 microRNA precursor family". Lineage: Eukaryota; Metazoa; Arthropoda; Insecta; Lepidoptera; Bombycidae. The record is from Rfam by way of RNAcentral.